AGGUACACUCUUGAAACAGCAAAACGAUGAGCAGGAGUUUGGUUUUGAGCCACAGUUUCAGAUACCAGCCACAGAUGCCUCUGCCCUAUCUCACUACAUGCUCUUUUCUAAGAAACACAUUCAAUGGUUGUAUUAAGUACUAAGGUGGGAAGAAAUGACCUGCUCACCACCAUCCACCCUCCUUCCUUCUUCUUCCAUGUGAACCCACAGUAGCAGACGCUGUAAACUGGAAGGACGGGUUGCGCAGAACGACAUUUGGAGUAAACUUAAAAAGUCUGUACCAGAAUCUGGCUCCCAUACUCAAGGCCCGUGGCUCCAGAAGUGAUCUGCCUGGAGCUGUGUGUUAUGCCUCAGUAUGGACACCACUGGUUCCCCAUCAUGUGCUACAACACAACAACCGCCAGCAAGAGAUGCCUCAUCCCUUGGCCACAUCCCAACCCACAGCCUGAAGCCGGCCCCAUCUGCCCUGGGAAGCCGACUACAGAAGAGGAUUCUGUGACAAAGACUCAUCUCGCCUCUACCACCUGUGCCCGAACAUUCUGCUCCUUCCAGGCUCUGCAAAUGCAGGGGGAAAGCAAUCUGACUGAACUGGUUCCAUCUUAUGUGUGAGUGAGCAAUACUCAUUUCACACUUAAGCGUAUUUUGCAAACAUAUUUCUGGUUUCUAGAAGUAAACAAAGGUAGC
RNAcentral lists this long non-coding RNA (684 nucleotides) under Suricata suricatta (meerkat). RNAcentral's name for it is "lncRNA (ENSSSUG00005001815.1)". The record is from RNAcentral. Lineage: Eukaryota; Metazoa; Chordata; Mammalia; Carnivora; Herpestidae.